Molecule: transfer RNA, 69 nt
Filed under: Trichosanthes reticulinervis
Lineage: Eukaryota; Viridiplantae; Streptophyta; Magnoliopsida; Cucurbitales; Cucurbitaceae
Description: tRNA-Arg
Rfam family: tRNA
About the family: Transfer RNA (tRNA) molecules are approximately 80 nucleotides in length. Their secondary structure includes four short double-helical elements and three loops (D, anti-codon, and T loops). Further hydrogen bonds mediate the characteristic L-shaped molecular structure. tRNAs have two regions of fundamental functional importance: the anti-codon, which is responsible for specific mRNA codon recognition, and the 3' end, to which the tRNAs corresponding amino acid is attached (by aminoacyl-tRNA synthetases). tRNAs cope with the degeneracy of the genetic code in two manners: having more than one tRNA (with a specific anti-codon) for a particular amino acid; and 'wobble' base-pairing, i.e. permitting non-standard base-pairing at the 3rd anti-codon position.
Source: RNAcentral
GGGCGUGGCCAAGUGGUAAGGCAACGGGUUUUGGUCCCGCUAUUCGGAGGUUCGAAUCCUUCCGUCCCA